GGGGCAGCAAUGUCACCGUCGCACGGGUGCGUAACGCGUAUGCAACCUACCUAUCACAGGGGGAUAGCCUUUGGAAACAGGGAUUAAUACCGCAUAAAGCAGGGGCUCCGCAUGGAGGUAUUGCUAAAGAUUUAUCGGUGAUAGAUGGGCAUGCGUCUGAUUAGUUAGAUGGUGGGGUAACGGCCUACCAUGGCGAUGAUCAGUAGGGGGCGUCAGAGCGUGGUCCCCCACACUGGCACUGAGAUACGGGCCAGACUCCUACGGGAGGCAGCAGUAGGGAAUAUUGGGCAAUGGAUGCAAGUCUGACCCAGCCAUGCCGCGUGAAGGAAGAAGGUCCUCUGGAUUGUAAACUUCUUUUGUCGGGGAAGAAGAGUCAUCUUGCGAGGUGAUGUGACGGUACCCGAUGAAUAAGCCACGGCUAACUACGUGCCAGCAGCCGCGGUAAUACGUAGGUGGCAAGCGUUGUCCGGAUUUAUUGGGUUUAAAGGGUGCGUAGGUGGUUUAAUAAGUCAGUGGUGAAAGCUGGUUGCUCAACAAUCAAGUUGCCAUUGAUACUGUUAGACUUGAGAGAAGUGGAGGCUGGUGGAAUGGAUGGUGUAGCGGUGAAAUGCAUAGAUAUCAUCCAGAACGUCAAUUGCGAAGGCAGCUGGCUGUACUUUUUCUGACACUGAGGCACGAAAGUGUGGGGAUCAAACAGGAUUAGAUACCCUGGUAGUCCACACUGUAAACGAUGCGAACUAGCU
Molecule: ribosomal RNA, 743 nt
Filed under: uncultured Bacteroidota bacterium
Lineage: Bacteria; Pseudomonadati; Bacteroidota
Description: bacterial SSU rRNA
Rfam family: Bacterial small subunit ribosomal RNA
Source: RNAcentral